GCGGCGGAGCGAUGCGGAUUAAUUCGAUGCAACGCGAAGAACUUACCAGGGCUUGACAUACACCGGUAACGCCCAGAGAUGGGUGCCCCUUUGUGGUCGGUGGACAGGUGGUGCAUGGUUGUCGUCAGCUCGUGUCGUGAGAUGUUGGGUUAAGUCCCGCAACGAGCGCAACCCUCGUCCUAUGUUGCCAGCGGGUCAUGCCGGGGACUCAUGGGAGACUGCCGGGGUCAACUCGGAGGAAGUGGGGAUGACGUCAAAUCAUCAUGCCCCUUAUGUCUUGGGCUUCACGCAUGCUACAAUGGCCGGUACAAAGGGCUGCGAUACCGGCGAGGUGGAGCGAAUCCCAGAAAGCCGGUCUCAGUUCGGAUUGGGUCUGCAACUCGACCCCAUGAAGUCGGAGUCGCUAGUAAUCGCAGAUCAGCAACGCUGCGGUGAAUACGUUCCCGGGCCUU
This 452-nucleotide ribosomal RNA is filed under the name uncultured Cellulomonas sp. Its description in RNAcentral is "bacterial SSU rRNA". It matches the Rfam family "Bacterial small subunit ribosomal RNA", at positions 929 to 1382 of the family's 1533-position model. Lineage: Bacteria; Bacillati; Actinomycetota; Actinomycetes; Micrococcales; Cellulomonadaceae. The record is from RNAcentral.